Molecule: transfer RNA, 71 nt
Filed under: Marmota monax (woodchuck)
Lineage: Eukaryota; Metazoa; Chordata; Mammalia; Rodentia; Sciuridae
Rfam family: tRNA
About the family: Transfer RNA (tRNA) molecules are approximately 80 nucleotides in length. Their secondary structure includes four short double-helical elements and three loops (D, anti-codon, and T loops).
Source: Rfam by way of RNAcentral
GGGGUUGUGGCUCAGUGGUAGAGCACUUGCCUGGCAAGUGAGAGGCCCUGGGUUCAAUCUUCAGGACCCCA